Long non-coding RNA from Saccostrea cuccullata (small rock oyster), 218 nucleotides. RefSeq lists it as uncharacterized. Lineage: Eukaryota; Metazoa; Mollusca; Bivalvia; Ostreida; Ostreidae. The record is from RefSeq and is a predicted model, not a curated record. The transcript has 3 exons.
AGAGAUUAAUGGACACUGCAUACGAACUGAUUUAGAAGUCAAUCAAACCUGUUGGUAUGAUGAACAGUGUAAUGCAACUGCAAAUUCGAGUGUUUGUAGAAAGAACAUUUGUGUCUGUACGGAUGAACAUUAUUUUGCAAAUGGAUCAUGCCAACCAUAUAAAAAAGAAUUGCCAGCUGGUGGUACGGAAACAUCAAAGAAGCCACAACCAUUGCAAG